GACGAACGCUGGCGGCGUGCUUAACACAUGCAAGUCGAACGGAAAGGCUCCAGCUUGCUGGAGUACUCGAGUGGCGAACGGGUGAGUAACACGUGGGUGAUCUGCCCUGCACUUCGGGAUAAGCCUGGGAAACUGGGUCUAAUACCGGAUAGGACCGCACUUUGGUGUGUGUGGUGGAAAGGUUUUUCUGGUGUGGGAUGAGCUCGCGGCCUAUCAGUUUGUUGGUGGGGUAAUGGCCUACCAAGACGGCGACGGGUAGCCGGCCUGAGAGGGUGGACGGGCACAUUGGGACUGAGAUACGGCCCAGACGCCUACGGGAGGCAGCAGGGGGGAAUAUUGCACAAUGGGGGAAACCCUGAUGCAGCGACGCCGCGUGGGGGAUGAAGGCCUUCGGGUUGUAAACUCCUUUCGCUAGGGACGAAGCUUUUUGUGACGGUACCUGGAGAAGAAGCACCGGCUAACUACGUG
Molecule: ribosomal RNA, 468 nt
Filed under: uncultured bacterium
Lineage: Bacteria
Description: partial 16S ribosomal RNA
Rfam family: Bacterial small subunit ribosomal RNA
Source: RNAcentral